GCCGGGUGUGGUGGCACGUGCCUGUAAUUCCAGCUACUUAGGAGGCUGAGACAGGAGAAUUGCUUGAACCCAGGAGGCAGGGGUUGCAGUGAGCAGAGAUCAUGCCACUGCACUCCAGCCUGGGCGACAGAGCAAGACUCUGUCUCGA
RNAcentral lists this non-coding RNA (148 nucleotides) under Nomascus leucogenys (northern white-cheeked gibbon). Lineage: Eukaryota; Metazoa; Chordata; Mammalia; Primates; Hylobatidae. The record is from Rfam by way of RNAcentral.